Molecule: non-coding RNA, 68 nt
Organism: Salmo salar (Atlantic salmon)
Lineage: Eukaryota; Metazoa; Chordata; Actinopteri; Salmoniformes; Salmonidae
Source: Rfam
CCCCGUAGCUCAGUUGGUAGAGCAUGGUGUUUGCAACGCCAGGGUUGUGGGUUCGAUUCCCAUGGGGG